Molecule: ribosomal RNA, 309 nt
Filed under: uncultured bacterium
Lineage: Bacteria
Description: partial 16S ribosomal RNA
Rfam family: Bacterial small subunit ribosomal RNA
Source: RNAcentral
AGAGACAGCAGCGCCACGGUAAUACGUAGGGCGCAAGCGUUGUCCGGAAUUAUUGGGCGUAAAGAGCUCGUAGGCGGUCUGUCGCGUCUGGUGUGAAAUCCCGAGGCUCAACCUCGGGCUUGCAUCGGGUACGGGCAGACUAGAGUGCGGUAGGGGAGACUGGAAUUCCUGGUGUAGCGGUGGAAUGCGCAGAUAUCAGGAGGAACACCGAUGGCGAAGGCAGGUCUCUGGGCCGCAACUGACGCUGAGGAGCGAAAGCAUGGGGAGCGAACAGGAUUAGAUACCCCUGUAGUCCCUGUCUCUUAUACA